RNAcentral lists this ribosomal RNA (254 nucleotides) under uncultured bacterium. RNAcentral's name for it is "partial 16S ribosomal RNA". It matches the Rfam family "Bacterial small subunit ribosomal RNA", at positions 334 to 605 of the family's 1533-position model. The record is from RNAcentral.
GAAACCUACGGGGGGCAGCAGUGGGGAAUAUUGCACAAUGGGGGAAACCCUGAUGCAGCGACGCCGCGUGAGUGAGGAAGUAUUUCGGUAUGUAAAGCUCUAUCAGCAGGGAAGAAAAUGACGGUACCUGACUAAGAAGCCCCGGCUAACUACGUGCCAGCAGCCGCGGUAAUACGUAGGGGGCAAGCGUUAUCCGGAUUUAGUGGGUGUAAAGGGAGCGUAGACGGCUAAUCAAGUCAGGAGUGAAAACCCAG